This 42-nucleotide transfer RNA is filed under the name Cnidium japonicum. RNAcentral describes it as "partial tRNA-Phe". The record is from RNAcentral. Lineage: Eukaryota; Viridiplantae; Streptophyta; Magnoliopsida; Apiales; Apiaceae.
UCGGGAUAGCUCAGCUGGGUAGAGCAGAGGACUGAAAAUCCU